This 316-nucleotide long non-coding RNA is filed under the name Ananas comosus (pineapple). Its description in RNAcentral is "long non-coding RNA (ACOM_LNC015831)". The record is from RNAcentral. Lineage: Eukaryota; Viridiplantae; Streptophyta; Magnoliopsida; Poales; Bromeliaceae.
CUUAGAGCAAGAGAUACAAAAAUAAAAUUGUUAUCAAGUGUUUCAUUUAGGGCAUGUUUGUUUCAACGUAAGUAGACUUGGGUGGAAGUGGACUUUGGGUUAAAGUAGAGUUUAGGUGAAAAUCAAUUCAUUUCCGCUGUUUGUUUCUAACUAUGAAAAUGCAGUUCUGUGAGUUCUGUUGUUUGUUUGGUAGGAAAUAGAUGACGUGAAAAAGUGUAGUUCUCCACCCCCGGUACACUUACCUCCGAAUUAAUAUUAUUGUCUAUUUUGUAACUUAGUGAAUAAUAAAUUAUAAUAAAUAAAAAUUAAUAUAAUU